CACCUCGAAGUGGCACACAGCCUGAGUACCGAGAGCUGCAUCACUUGUUUUCGUCGUUUCGUCGCGCGCCGUGGAGCACCUCUAGAAGUUUAUAGUGACAACGGCACCAAUUUUCAAGGUGCCGAGAAACUGCUUAAAGAGCAAAUCAACAACGGAUUAGCAGAGACCUUUACAAACUCCAACACCAAGUGGUGCUUCAAUCCGCCGUCAGCCCCGCACAUGGGCGGAGCUUGGGAAAGGAUGGUGCGCUCCGUGAAAGCCGCUAUCGAGAACAUCGACACUGGCCGUAAGUUAAACGAUGAAGGAUUGCUAACAUUGCUGGCGGAAGCGGAGAGUAUUGUCAACUCUCGACCGCUGACCUACCUACCGUUGGAAUCGGAAGAACAAGAAGCUCUAACACCGAACCACUUCUUACUCGGAAGCUCAAAAGGAGUCAAGCAACCGCCAAAGAACCCCACCGAUCAUCGUGAAGCAGUUUCGAACAACUGGAAGCAGAUAUGUCAUCAGUUGGACAUCUUUUGGCACCGUUGGCUGAAAGAAUACUUGCCGACCAUCUGCCGGCGGACUAAAUGGUUCUGCGAUACCAAGCCCAUCGAAGUGGGAGACUUAGUACUUGUAGCGGAGGCCUCAAAACGGAACAGCUGGAUUCGUGGACGAGUAACCGAAAUGCAGCCAGGGCCAGACGGACGGGUGCGGCGAGCAACUGUGCAAACAAGUACAGGGUUUAUGAGAAGGCCGGCGUGCAAGCUGGCUGUACUAGACGUGAUAUCUUCUGGUAAAACUGCUUUGAACACGCAGUGUUACGGAGGCGGGAAUGUUGCUGCAUCGCCACGCCUCACUGUACAGCCGACUGAGUCCGGCUCUGAUAGAGUCACUCACACUAACCCAUGUGAUAAGGGGAUAUCGAUGACAGCAGGACGCAACGAUGAUAAUGCAAUAACAACAAAACCGUAAUCAAAAGUUACCUCAACGUGGUGAUCUACGAGUGUCUAUCUAAACCUAAAUUAAAAUUAAUUUGAUUAUCCUAAAACAUCAGUUAUAGUUAUAAGUUAUUAUUGCUACUGAAUUCGUAUCAUACGCUGUUGUGGAUUUCUUAUACUAAAGGUAGUGUACGAAAGCUUAGGUCGAGAAUAUUCGAGCCGCAUAAUUACUGAAAAAGCGAAUUGUAUUAAGCUUCGUCCAGUAAACACUAACUGAUCCUUAUUCAAACUUAACCUAAGAAUACUAAGCCUACACCAAAUUGUAAGUAUUGUACAGUAGAUUGUCUGAUUUCCUCCUUAAUAUUGAAAUAUAUUUUAGCUUGAGCUGUUCUAUAAAGCUGAAAGAAAGUGUAGCCACUUGGUGUUUU
This is a long non-coding RNA of Aedes albopictus (Asian tiger mosquito), 1348 nucleotides long. RefSeq lists it as uncharacterized. The record is from RefSeq and is a predicted model, not a curated record. NCBI's taxonomy places the organism in Eukaryota, Metazoa, Arthropoda, Insecta, Diptera, Culicidae. The transcript has 3 exons.